RNAcentral lists this ribosomal RNA (414 nucleotides) under uncultured bacterium. RNAcentral's name for it is "bacterial SSU rRNA". It matches the Rfam family "Bacterial small subunit ribosomal RNA", at positions 153 to 562 of the family's 1533-position model. The record is from RNAcentral.
GAAACGCUGGCUAAUACCGAAUAGCGUCUACGGACGAAAGCGGGGGAUCUUCGGACCUCGCACCAUAAGAUGAGCCCACGUCUGAUUAGCUAGUUGGUGAGGUAAAUGCUUACCAAGGCGACGAUCAGUAUCCGGCCUGAGAGGGUGGACGGACACACUGGGACUGAGACACGGCCCAGACUCCUACGGGAGGCAGCAGUGGGGAAUAUUGGACAAUGGGCGCAAGCCUGAUCCAGCAAUGCCGCGUGUGUGAAGAAGGCCUUCGGGUUGUAAAGCACUUUUGUUAGGGAGGAAAGUCUUGUAGCUAAUAACUGCGAGAUAUGACGUUACCUAAAGAAUCAGCACCGGCUAACUCUGUGCCAGCAGCCGCGGUAAUACAGAGGGUGCAAGCGUUAAUCGGAAUUACUGGGCGUA